GACGAACGCUGGCGGCGUGCUUAACACAUGCAAGUCGAACGGAAAGGCCCAGCUUGCUGGGUGCUCGAGUGGCGAACGGGUGAGUAACACGUGGGUGAUCUGCCCCUAACUUCGGGAUAAGCUUGGGAAACUGGGUCUAAUACCGGAUAGGACAAUCGUUUAGUGUCGGUUGUGGAAAGUUUUUUCGGUUAGGGAUGAGCCCGCGGCCUAUCAGCUUGUUGGUGGGGUAAUGGCCUACCAAGGCGUCGACGGGUAGCCGGCCUGAGAGGGUGGACGGCCACAUUGGGACUGAGAUACGGCCCAGACUCCUACGGGAGGCAGAAGUGGGGAAUAUUGCACAAUGGGCGCAAGCCUGAUGCAGCGACGCCGCGUGGGGGAUGACGGCCUUCGGGUCGUAAACCUCUUUCGACAGGGACGAAGCUUUGGUGACGGUACCUGUAUAAGAAGCACCGGCUAACUACGUG
Molecule: ribosomal RNA, 464 nt
Filed under: uncultured bacterium
Lineage: Bacteria
Description: partial 16S ribosomal RNA
Rfam family: Bacterial small subunit ribosomal RNA
Source: RNAcentral